Molecule: ribosomal RNA, 253 nt
Filed under: uncultured bacterium
Lineage: Bacteria
Description: partial 16S ribosomal RNA
Rfam family: Bacterial small subunit ribosomal RNA
Source: RNAcentral
UACGAAGGGGGCUAGCGUUGCUCGGAAUUACUGGGCGUAAAGGGCGCGUAGGCGGAUCGUUAAGUCAGAGGUGGAAUCCCAGGGCUCAACCCUGGAACUGCCUUUGAUACUGGCGAUCUUGAGUAUGAGAGAGGUAUGUGGAACUCCGAGUGUAGAGGUGAAAUUCGUAGAUAUUCGGAAGAACACCAGUGGCGAAGGCGACAUACUGGCUCAUUACUGACACUGAGGCGCGAAAGCGUGGGGAGCAAACAGG